UUUUAUAAUUAAUUUAAUUAAGAUUAUUUAAAUAUAAAAAAAUUAAAAUUAAAUUAUUUAUUUUGUUGGGGUGACAGAAAAAUAUAUAUAACUUUUUUUAAUAUUUUAACAUUUAUAAGUGAUUAAAUGAUCCAGUAAUAUUGAUUAUAA
RNAcentral lists this ribosomal RNA (150 nucleotides) under Cosmia trapezina (dun-bar pinion). Its description in RNAcentral is "partial large subunit ribosomal RNA". Lineage: Eukaryota; Metazoa; Arthropoda; Insecta; Lepidoptera; Noctuidae. The record is from RNAcentral.